UUACAACCACCCAACCCCAUUUUGCAUAGAAGAUAUUGUUACCAUGGCAACAGAAGACAACAGCGAACAGCAGCACACCGCAAUACAUCAAUCAUCAAGACAGUGAAGUGUACCAUAAUUGUAAGAUAUGAUGCAGAUUACUCUGGCAGUCAAGCUGUGACCAUGAGACAAAAAGUCAAUAGAAUCCAUCUAGGCCUGGCACGGUGGCUCACGCCUGUAAUCCCAGCACUUCGGGAGGCUGAGGCGGGCGGAUCACGACGUCAGGAGAUACAGACCAUCCUGCCUACUAACACUGUGAAACCCCGUCUCUACUAAAAAUACAAAAAAUUAGCCAGGCGUGGUGGCGUGAGCCUAUAGUUCCAGCUACUAGGGAGGUUGAGGCAGGAUAAUCGCUUGAACCAGGGAGGCAGAGGUUGCAGUGAGCCGAGAUCACGCCACUGCACUCCAGCCUGGGCGACAGAGCAAGACUCCGUCUCACCAAAGUAUCCAUCUAAAUGCGGAUGCUGCAACAGACACCACUGAGACACUGAAACAACCCUGGAAGUGGAAUUUUUGUUACAUUAGAUAAUUAAAUCUUUUAUAAUGUAAACUCCUGUUAUGUGGGUAUAUGCUACUUUCAAUAGCUCCUUACUUGAUAUAUGAAAAUGACAUCCAAUUAUGAAAUUUUUUUCCUCAAAGUUAAAUGGUAAGAAAAUAUUGGAAAAGCAGAUAAAAGAAAAGCUCAAUUCUAUC
This 732-nucleotide long non-coding RNA is filed under the name Pan paniscus (pygmy chimpanzee). Its description in RNAcentral is "lncRNA (ENSPPAG00000044886.1)". The record is from RNAcentral. Lineage: Eukaryota; Metazoa; Chordata; Mammalia; Primates; Hominidae.